AACGGGGGGGGCGGGCUUACCAUGCAAGUCGAGCGGUAAGGCCCUUCGGGGUACACGAGCGGCGAACGGGUGAGUAACACGUGAGCAACCUGCCCCUGACUCUGGGAUAAGCGGUGGAAACGCCGUCUAAUACCGGAUACGACCCACCACCUCAUGGUGGAGGGUGGAAAGUUUUAUCGGUCAGGGAUGGGCUCGCGGCCUAUCAGCUUGUUGGUGGGGUAACGGCCUACCAAGGCGAUUACGGGUAGCCGGCCUGAGAGGGCGACCGGCCACACUGGGACUGAGACACGGCCCAGACUCCUGCGGGAGGCAGCAGUGGGGAAUAUUGCACAAUGGGCGAAAGCCUGAUGCAGCGACGCCGCGUGGGGGAUGACGGCCUUCGGGUUGUAAACCUCUUUUACCACCAACGCAGGCUCCACGUUCUCGUGGGGUUGACGGUAGGUGGGGAAUAAGGACCGGCUAACUACGUGCCAGCAGCCGCGGUAAUACGUAGGGUCCGAGCGUUGUCCGGAAUUAUUGGGCGUAAAGAGCUCGUAGGCGGCAUGUCGCGUCUGCUGUGAAAGACCGGGGCUUAACUCCGGUUCUGCAGUGGAUACGGGCAUGCUAGAGGUAGGUAGGGGAGACUGGAAUUCCUGGUGUAGCGGUGAAAUGCGCAGAUAUCAGGAGGAACACCGGUGGCGAAGGCGGGUCUCUGGGCCUUACCUGACGCUGAGGAGCGAAAGCAUGGGGAGCGAACAGGAUUAGAUACCCUGGUAGUCCAUGCCGUAAACGUUGGGCGCUAGGUGUGGGGACUUUCCACGGUUUCCGCGCCGUAGCUAACGCAUUAAGCGCCCCGCCUGGGGAGUACGGCCGCAAGGCUAAAACUCAAAGGAAUUGACGGGGGCCCGCACAAGCGGCGGA
This 900-nucleotide ribosomal RNA is filed under the name Nocardiopsis sp. JSM 102034. RNAcentral describes it as "bacterial SSU rRNA". It matches the Rfam family "Bacterial small subunit ribosomal RNA", at positions 32 to 936 of the family's 1533-position model. The record is from RNAcentral. Lineage: Bacteria; Bacillati; Actinomycetota; Actinomycetes; Streptosporangiales; Nocardiopsidaceae.